GACAGAGGGUGCGAACGUUGUUCGGAAUUACUGGGCGCAAAGCGCGUGUAGGCUGUUCGGAAAGUCGGGUGUGAAAGCCCUGGGCUCAACCUAGGAAGUGCACUCGAAACUCCCGAACUGGAGUCCCGGAGAGGAAGGCGGAAUUCUCGGUGUAGAGGUGAAAUUCGUAGAUAUCGAGAGGAACAUCGGUGGCGAAGGCGGCCUUCUGGACGGUGACUGACGCUGAGACGCGAAAGCGUGGGGAGCAAACAGG
This 253-nucleotide ribosomal RNA is filed under the name uncultured bacterium. Its description in RNAcentral is "partial 16S ribosomal RNA". It matches the Rfam family "Bacterial small subunit ribosomal RNA", at positions 524 to 776 of the family's 1533-position model. The record is from RNAcentral.